CAUUAGCUGUGUGAACCUAAGUAAGUUACUCAAUCUCUCUGACCUGCAGUUUCCUCCUCCAUAAAAUGAAGAAAACUCUUCAGCUCACAUGAUGGUUGUGAAAAAUAAAUAUAUUUACAAUGUUACAUGCAAUCUUGCCCCAUACUGAGAGCUCUGGAAUUGGUGGCCAUUACUACUAUCUUUGUUAGAACACAAAGAACCUCCUGUGACUUCCCAUUUUCUAUAGGAUCACGUUUGAACUCCUGAGCAAGACACUGGAAGUUGGUCCCUACCACACGCUCAGUACAUUUCACCACACUUUAACAGGCUCACUGUUCCUUUCCUCAGCAGACAGCCCUUCUCUCCCUUUCCACCCAGAGAAUUAAUCUCAUUCUGUACAGGCCAGUUUAUAUUAAUCUCAAUCUCUUUCUCAUUAAAUCUCCCACAGUCCCAGCAAACGAGUGUCUCUCCCAGCUGUGCCUCACACAGGCAUGUUCAUACAUCAGCAUAAUCUUGGUCCUAUUGAGUGCGACUGAGCUGUGUGGUAUCUCCCUCCAACCCAGGGAGCUCCAGGCACGCAGGGCAGACCUCCUCCAUGUCAGUAUCUUGAAUGCCUGGCACAGUGCCCACCAUGGAGCAGGCACUCAAUAAACUGUGUAGAACUCAAACAAGCUAAAAGAAGACUAUAUGCUUUGUACACACUGGAAUUCCUUAAUAUUUCAAAAUGGAAAUCCGAGUUCCGAAAAAAAAUCAAGGUUUUAAGAGCCAACACAGAAUCUGGAACCAUCGAGCAAUGCAUCAAGUUCUCUUUCUCUGCAUCCAGUUCUUCUGGGGCUUAAAAAAAAAAAUACUGAUGGCCAGACUCCAUCCCUGGCAAUUAUGAUGUAAUAGAUCUGCAGUGGGCCUGGGCAGUGUUAGGUAUUAAAAGGUCUAAGGUACAGCCAGGAUUGAGACCCUCUGCCAUAGCUCAGAGGGGUCCACCACAUUGUAAAGAGCUCCCAGUCUAAGUGAUGCUGGAAGUCAGAGAACUGGUUUACAGGAAUGCAGAGAGAUGGUCCCCCUCAGCUGCUCCUCUACCGGUCUCUCAGCUGGAGGGAGGAUUUAGGUCUUUGCAUGUUCACCCCUGCAGUGCAGAGCACAGCGCCUGGCAGGCUGACGGUUGCCCUGUUAGCUGAAUCGAUUCUGAAUCUGGCCUGAAGACACUCCAGCUGCCCCAUCCCAAAUGUCCUGGCUCCCUGAAGUCUCUGUGACCUCAUGUCAGAGUGGCUGGAAACUUUCACUCAAAUGAGCUGGCUGUGGCCUCCCCCGACUUUGAAAAUAAAUAAAGAAUACAUUUCCUUUUGCA
Long non-coding RNA from Leopardus geoffroyi (Geoffroy's cat), 1324 nucleotides. RefSeq lists it as uncharacterized. The transcript is spliced from 2 exons. The record is from RefSeq and is a predicted model, not a curated record. NCBI's taxonomy places the organism in Eukaryota, Metazoa, Chordata, Mammalia, Carnivora, Felidae.